RNAcentral lists this ribosomal RNA (468 nucleotides) under uncultured bacterium. Its description in RNAcentral is "partial 16S ribosomal RNA". It matches the Rfam family "Bacterial small subunit ribosomal RNA", at positions 28 to 507 of the family's 1533-position model. The record is from RNAcentral.
GACGAACGCUGGCGGCGUGCUUAACACAUGCAAGUCGAACGGAAAGGCCCUGCUUUUGUGGGGUGCUCGAGUGGCGAACGGGUGAGUAACACGUGAGUAACCUGCCCUUGACUUUGGGAUAACUUCAGGAAACUGGGGCUAAUACCGGAUAGGAGCUCCUGCUGCAUGGUGGGGGUUGGAAAGUUUCGGCGGUUGUGGAUGGACUCGCGGCUUAUCAGCUUGUUGGUGGGGUAGUGGCUUACCAAGGCUUUGACGGGUAGCCGGCCUGAGAGGGUGACCGGCCACAUUGGGACUGAGAUACGGCCCAGACCCCUACGGGAGGCAGCAGUGGGGAAUAUUGCACAAUGGGCGGAAGCCUGAUGCAGCAACGCCGCGUGCGGGAUGACGGCCUUCGGGUUGUAAACCGCUUUCGCCUGUGACGAAGCGUGAGUGACGGUAAUGGGUAAAGAAGCACCGGCUAACUACGUG